Solanum tuberosum (potato) is the source of this 359-nucleotide long non-coding RNA. RefSeq lists it as uncharacterized. Lineage: Eukaryota; Viridiplantae; Streptophyta; Magnoliopsida; Solanales; Solanaceae. The transcript is spliced from 2 exons. The record is from RefSeq and is a predicted model, not a curated record.
ACAUUAGUUGCAUGUCAUGUUGCAAGCAAAUUACCUUCAACACAUUCUGCAAAUAAAGGUAGAAAUAAUUUAGAAAUCAAUCUACAAAAUGAUAAUUUAGUGCCAAAAGAUUACUUGCUUUUAAAGAAAGUUCCAAAUUGCAAAUUUUGUGUAGCAAAAAGGUUUCAAUAUGAAUCACCAGGUUUUUGUUGUGAUAAUGGAUCAAUUAGACUAACUUCUCAUAGGAUGCCUACUGAGUUGCGAAAUUUGUUCUUGGGUGACUCCAAAGAAUGUCAACAUUUUCGCACUUAUAGUAGAGCCUACAAUAAUAUGUUUGCCUUCACUUCACUUGGAGUACGUUAUGAUAAAGAAUUAGCAAA